AUUGCUUUUAAAACUGUUAAUCUAGAGAUUGAAAGAGGAUAGAGGAAUUCCUAGUGUAGAGGUAAAAUUCGUAAAUAUUAGGAGGAACACCAGUGGCGAAGGCGUCUAUCUGGUUCAAAUCUGACGCUGAGGCGCGAAGGCGUGGGGAGCAAACAGGAUUAGAUACCCUGGUAGUCCACGCUGUAAACGAUGAAUGUUAAAUAUGGGAAAUUUAUUUUCUGUAUUACAGCUAACGCGUUAAACAUUCCGCCUGGGGACUACGGUCGCAAGAUUAAAACUCAAAGGAAUUGACGGGGACCCGCACAAGCGGUGGAGCAUGUGGUUUAAUUCGAUCAACGCGAAAAACCUUACCACUCCUUGACAUGGAAAUCAUACCUAUUCGAAGGGAUAGGGUCGGUUCGGCCGGAUUUCACACAGGUGUUGCAUGGCUGUCGUCAGCUCGUGUCGUGAAAUGUUGGGUUAAGUCCCGCAACGAGCGCAACCCUCAUCCUUAGUUACCAUCAGAUAAUGCUGGGGACUUUAAGGAAACUGCUAGUGAUAAACUGGAGGAAGGUGGGGAUGAUGUCAAGUCAUCAUGGCCCUUAUGGAGUGGGCUACACACGUGCUACAAUGGUGGCUACAAUGGGCUGCAAAGUCGCGAGGCUAAGCUAAUCCCUUAAAAGCCGUCUCAGUUCGGAUUGCACUCUGCAACUCGAGUGCAUGAAGUUGGAAUCGCUAGUAAUCGUGGAUCAGCAUGCCACGGUGAAUACGUUCUCGGGUCUUGU
RNAcentral lists this ribosomal RNA (764 nucleotides) under Armadillidium vulgare (common pillbug). Its description in RNAcentral is "bacterial SSU rRNA". It matches the Rfam family "Bacterial small subunit ribosomal RNA", at positions 620 to 1384 of the family's 1533-position model. Lineage: Eukaryota; Metazoa; Arthropoda; Malacostraca; Isopoda; Armadillidiidae. The record is from RNAcentral.